Molecule: RNase P RNA, 440 nt
Filed under: Chloroflexi bacterium RBG_16_68_14
Lineage: Bacteria; Bacillati; Chloroflexota
Description: RNase P RNA component class A
Rfam family: Bacterial RNase P class A
About the family: Ribonuclease P (RNase P) is a ubiquitous endoribonuclease, found in archaea, bacteria and eukarya as well as chloroplasts and mitochondria. Its best characterised activity is the generation of mature 5'-ends of tRNAs by cleaving the 5'-leader elements of precursor-tRNAs.
Source: RNAcentral
CCAGGAGGCCGGGUGGUCGCCCCGACCGCUGGUCGGGGAGGAACGUCCGAGCUCCACCGGGCAAGGGUGCCGGGUAACACCCGGGCGGGGCGACCCGACGGAAAGUGCCACAGAAACAUACCGCCUCGGGCCGAGCGGGGUCGCAAGACCCCCAGAAACUCCCCGAAACGCCUGCCGCCGGCAGGCAGGUCGGGGCGGCCCGGGGUAAGGGUGAAAUGGUGCGGUAAGAGCGCACCGGUCCUUCCGGUAACGGAAGGAGCCGGGCAAACCCCACCCGGAGCAAGGCCAAAUAGGAGGACGACCCCGACUCGUCGGGGAGGGGCGCCCGGCCCCGUCCUCGGGUAGGCCGCUCGAGCCCGCUGGUAACAGCGGGCCCAGAUAGAUGGCCACCGCCCCGACGUGUCGGGGUACAGAACUCGGCGUACAGGCCGCCUGGCUCC